This 453-nucleotide ribosomal RNA is filed under the name uncultured Prevotellaceae bacterium. RNAcentral's name for it is "bacterial SSU rRNA". It matches the Rfam family "Bacterial small subunit ribosomal RNA", at positions 341 to 792 of the family's 1533-position model. The record is from RNAcentral. Lineage: Bacteria; Pseudomonadati; Bacteroidota; Bacteroidia; Bacteroidales; Prevotellaceae.
ACGGGAGGCAGCAGUGAGGAAUAUUGGUCAAUGGACGGAAGUCUGAACCAGCCAAGUCGCGUGCGGGAUGAAGGCCCUACGGGUCGUAAACCGCUUUUGUACGGGGAUAAAGUCACCCACGUGUGGGUGUUUGUAGGUACCGUAAGAAUAAGGAUCGGCUAAUUCCGUGCCAGCAGCCGCGGUAAUACGGAAGAUCCGAGCGUUAUCCGGAUUUAUUGGGUUUAAAGGGAGCGUAGGCGGGCCUUUAAGUCAGUGGUCAAAGCGUGUGGCUCAACCAUACCACGCCGUUGAUACUGGAGGCCUUGAGUGCACAUAAGGAUGGUGGAAUUCAUGGUGUAGCGGUGAAAUGCUUAGAUAUCAUGAAGAACUCCGAUUGCGAAGGCAGCUGUCCGGGGUGUAACUGACGCUAAUGCUCGAAAGUGCGGGUAUCAAACAGGAUUAGAUACCCUGGUA